Molecule: ribosomal RNA, 253 nt
Filed under: uncultured bacterium
Lineage: Bacteria
Description: partial 16S ribosomal RNA
Rfam family: Bacterial small subunit ribosomal RNA
Source: RNAcentral
GACGAAGGAUGCAAGCGUUAUCCGGAUUCAUUGGGCUUAAAGGGAGCGUAGGCGGCCUUAUAAGUCAGGGGUGAAAUCUCCGAGCUUAACUCGGAAAUUGCCAUUGAUACUGUAGGGCUUGAGUACAGUUGCUGUGGGCGGAAUAUGACAUGUAGUGGUGAAAUACAUAGAGAUGUCAUAGAACACCGAUUGCGAAGGCAGCUCACAAAACUGUAACUGACGCUGAGGCUCGAAAGCGUGGGGAGCGAACAGG